This is a non-coding RNA of Taeniopygia guttata (zebra finch), 6496 nucleotides long. Lineage: Eukaryota; Metazoa; Chordata; Aves; Passeriformes; Estrildidae. The record is from RefSeq and is a predicted model, not a curated record.
UUCUUCUUUCUAACUUUUUCUUAAUCUAAGAUUAAAAGCAUUUAAUUAUGAAACCUGAAAUCUUCCUGAUAACCCUAAAGUUUUAACCCAAGUGGUGGUGUGAUUUGGAAUGAGAUGGUGACUAUGUAUAUAAGAUGAAGAAGAUACAGAGGUUUCAUUUCCUACAAAUUAAUUCUCUACAAGCUGUGUAAACUUUCCUUCAUAUAAACAAAGUCUUUACAGACAAAGAUGUCAGGGUUUUCCCCCUUUCAAUUAUUUAGAGAAAAAACAGAAAUGCAAUUUUACUGUCUAGGCACUUCAACCCAUACCAGCAAAUCGAGAGCUGCUCUGGGUUGCCUUGCACAGUGCACUUCCUCAUGCUUCUAUAAAACAAAUGUAAAUAAACUUGCAAAGAAACAAUCUUGUGCAGCCGGAUAUUACUAAGUAGUUUCAAGCUUCUACAGUAGAUUGACAACUAUUUGUAUUUACACACUCCCCCCCAAAUACAAAUGUUGUGAUCUCUCACUACAGAGGGGCAACAUAUGAGAGACAACACAACUGCCACGCCAAUACCAUGCUGUCAUCUUCAUUCCUAUCACUUUUCCAUGCCCUAACUUCAGGGAGGCUCCAAAAUUCAGCUUUAUAAAUGCAUUAAACAGUCUUUCUGCAAAAGAGGGAGUAAUCCACAUUACCAAUUUUAGUGGCCCAACCCAGUGGCCCAGCUGGACAUAGAGGUAAUGGAGAGGGAGCUGCCAAUUUGCUUUGCCCUAACUCUUAAACUUCAGAUCCUCUGUGAGGAGAGAGGAGUUGUCCCUCUUGAGAGAGCUCAGGGCCCCCACAGUUUGGAGAAGGAGCAUGACAGAGAACAGAUUCAAUACCCUGAGGGCUUGGCAUACCAUUCCUUGAAGGAACAGGGAGCACCCUGAAGUCUCAGUGGUGAUGGCGAGAUGGUGGCUUGCUGCCUGGGGACACAGAGAAGUGGGCUAGAGACUGUAAUACAGGAGGCACCAGACUCAAAAACAAGACAGGGCAAGGACCUUCCCUCCAAGGAGACAAAAAGAGCCUUCUUUUAACCUGAGAAUUUUUCGUCUUCAAAAAGUCACACUGGUCAAGCUUGUUUUCUGAGAAAACAUGGAGCAUGGAGUCCCUGGGGGACUCCUCAUGUGUGCACUUUCAGGAAAUAUUGCAGGUCUAUCAGAGGGCUUGACUCACAGGCCAUUAGAUGCAGUUUUGCCAAACAGACAAACAAGUCAUUGUGGACAAAUGUAAAGUACAAUCAGAAAACAGCAUCAUCCUUUAAAAAUAUUCCAGAGCACUUAAUUCCAUCUCAUAUUCAAGUGUCCAGAAGACCAAUGAGAAAUGCUAUUUGCUGGUUUUUUGUUUUCCUUCAUGGUAUUAAUCUAAACUAGUACAUUGCAUAUCAUUUAAGAGGAAGAGUGUUUUCAUACAUCUGAAAAAUAUUUUUGCUGCAUUAAUGCCCCAUGUCUAAAAAUAAACCCAGUCGAUUUAGAAUGAAUGCUCACAAUAUUUGCCUACCCUUAAAAAAAAAUCUCCAUGCCUAAAGACAUUAUUUCCUAGAGAAACAAGGGAAACCUUCUCUAAAUUAUUCUGUUUAGGAAAUAAAGCAGAAGAAAAGAGUCACUUGUGCUCACAGUUCCCCACGUGGGUUUAACCUCUACCUUCAGGCAUUUUGCACAACCCCAUGGGGAGCAUUCAUGCCCAUUCGUGCUGCCAGGCUGCUGAGAGCCCAGCCUUGUGUGCAGUACCUGCAAGAGAAGAUCACUGGGAGCAGUGACUGCCUUGCUCUGCCUCUUUCUGGAGUACUUCAGAAGUAAUUCUGGAGGGCAAAACUUCACAGCAGCAACUUCUAGAGGAGCUAUUUUCAUCAAGAAUAAAAUAACAUGGGAACAUGUUGUCACUGCAACCAUCUGUACUUCAAUUGAACAACCUCAUUGGACAGUACUAUGGUGAACCUGUUGUCCAUCUGUUUAUGGUGAGUUCUCAGUCACACAUGAGAGGCUCACGUGAAGGCAGGGCUACACCUCCUUCUAUGUCACUUCUGUCUCCAGCCACUGCUUCUCAGGACAGAUACAAUCUGCUGCUGAGAUAACAGUCCCAAGUUGAUUUGGUUUUUUUGGGGUUUUUUUUUGUUUUUUUUUUUUUUUUUUUGCUUUGUUUUUUUGCCUUAUAUCUCCCCAGUGACUGUAAUACCUGUUCUGACAGUACCAGUGGUCUGACUUUCCAGCAUUGACUGGAAAAAAAAAUACCAGCAGUGAGAAUAGAUGCUUUAAUUCUGCUGCUCCUUAACUUAAUAAAGUCAAAUAUGUAACAGAAUCUGAUUUUUCACUUUUUUUUAUUAGGUACUUUAUCAUUUGGGCUUCAUGGUCCAAUCUGAUUUGUUACUAGAGGAUAAAGCAAUUACAUGCUCAAACAUGAUUCACUGUAAAACUCCAGCCUGUGAAACCACAGGCCAGCAAAAGAGCUGUGCUGGUGAUACCAUGGCUAACAAACAUAACUUAUGUGUGAUACUUGGGGAGAGCAGUGACCACAGGCCUGUGCUAUCCCUCUCUUCUGCUGCUCCCCAAAUCUCCCUGAAGUGGCACAGAACCCAAACUGGGGAGAAACCACCACGGAGUCUGCCUCAGAGGGCAAGGAGGCAGCCAGUGUAUGGGGCCAAAUGCAAUCCAGACCAAAGGGAGCCACAGGCAAUAAAAGGAAGUGUAUGGUAACCCAUGAGAAAACCAGGAGAAAAAAAGGAAAGAAAACCUCUCUCAACAGCUGCAGAGAGGUUUUGCCAGACAAAGAAGAAGUCAGGCAACUGCAUACCUGCUCUCUAAAUCACUGUUCAGUCAUGCUACAUGGUCCUGACUGGCUGGGGUGCAACAUCUGGCUGGCCCCUUAGCCAGUCCAGCAGGCUCAGGCUGUUUCUAAGUGGAGUGAAGGCCAACAGGCCUCCCCAGUGUCCUGCAGGAGCCCUAGCUGGCAGCCCUGCCUGCAGGUGUUACAUCACAGACAGCAUUCUGCCAGCCACCAGCUCCUCACCCCCAGCACCAGGGCCAGACAGGACGAAAGGCAGCCGCUGGCCACUCGCCAGCACAUCUUGCAUUGCCUUAAAUGCUGUGUUCUGACUACAUGUCCUGUUUGCUAUGAAACAAAUCUAAUGGAGGAAAUGAACAGGAUUUUGCUUUUAAAAGUAUUGUGUCAGUCAUAUAUUGAGCCAUCUACAGUGCUCUGCUGGCUGCCAAACCUCUGGAAACACAUCACACCAAAGUGUUGUAGGGUCAUGGGAGCUGCAUAACACCAGGUCUUCACAGUCUCAGAAACCAAAUUACCUAAUUUUGAGGAAACAAUACCUGCAUGCAAUUAAGCUCUUAACUUUACUCAUCAUCAAGCCUAGAAAAGCUACAUAUAUGCUAACAACUUGAAAAAUCCUCUAAAAUCAGUUUUGGAGACUUAAAGGAAAUCAAAGGAAAUGUGAUAAAAUUAAAAUGCUCCCACUUAAAUAAAAUUUUAUUUCCCUUCCAGUAACAUACAAUAUUUAACUAAGAAUUUUAAUAUAUUCAGUAAAAUAUGAGCAUAUUAUUAACCUCCUCAGAACGACACCAUUUACUGUAAAGUCAUUACCAUUCUCUUCACUCAUGUCUGGCCUCUUUGUUUCAAGUCUGUUUUCCCAGCUUACAGUAUCAGGUCAACAGACUCUAACAUAAAUGAGUAAUGUGUCUGGAAUUUUUUCCUUGCAAUACCAAACCUCAGACCAAGCUCAGGCAGAAGGGCCAUGCUGUGAAAAGGAUGGGAAGCAGCUUCAGCUGUACCUCUUCUCUACAUUCUCCAUCCUGUCCCACUUCCCCUUGCAAGAGGCUCCUGCCUAGGCUGCUGUCUGUCCCUGACUUCACUUCCUUCUCUCACAGCUCUCAGAGACAGCAUCUGGACUUUUGGAAAUCCAAAUCCACCCUUUCUCAGGGUCUAGUAGACCAAAAACAAUUCUGUGCUUCCCAUGGCCAGAGUUCAAAAUCUACAACAGUGACCGCAGAAGUCCAGAAAUUAGUUUCUGUAAGGUGGGACAGUCAGAGGGGAUCUACUCAGCUAAUUAAUUAUUUUUGGUCAUUUCUGAGGUGCUGCCCAUGGUUAACUCAGUGAAGUGAGAGAAUGUCCUGCUUGUUGCUGUCUGUCCCCACAGUCAGUAGGGCCUUAUUAACAGUGCUGAAGGUGUCAACGCAAGAGAAGGAUGUCAGUCUUUCCUCAGCACUUUAAACUUCUAUAGGCUUCAGGUCUGGGGGAAGCUGGAUGUCCUUCUGAAACAUUCUACCUGUAAAUCUAGUCUUUUAUACAGAUAUUAACAAAUAAAAACCAAGUUGUAUGGAAAAUGUCAGUUCUAUUUUUGCCAACUAAAAUAUAACAGGAAAUUGUAUGCUUAACAUAUGUGCAGAACUGCAAAACUGAAGCACAGAUAAGUAACCACUAUUAUUAAGAAUGCUAAACACAGUUGCAGAGGUGAAACAGAUUAUGCUGCUGGAUGUUUCCUUUAAUAUGAAUUCUAGCUACAGAUUUGCUUUGCAUAUGAAAGUUAAUAGAAAAUCCUUACAGCAACUUAAGGAAACAGAAUUGAAUUCUUACAAAAUAGUCAUAUAUUUAUCCAGUGCCUAAAUACACUGAUGGGAAAACAUAUGUAUUAUGGUACACAAACGAAACAAAUUGUUCCUGAAUACACUAAUUUCAGAAACACACCAAUAGCUCUGAUAGGAAGAACUUGAAUGUGAAUGUCAUACAAACCAAAAAUGAAAAGAAAAACCAAUCUGAGCAGCUAAGCUACAAGCUGUUUUGAAUGAUGUCCAGAAUCCAAAUGAACCAAAGCCUGUCACCCUAAAUCUGAAUCAUAAGUGCAGGUCUCCUCUGGGAUGCCCCAGAAAACCCCAUGCAGAAACCACAGCUCCACCAAGGUUUCAGUGCAGUGCUCUGCAAAGUGUGCCUGGAUGCUGCUGUGCCAGGAAGGUGGGACACAGGGGGCCCUGAGAAUAUGGGCCUGGCCCCCUCUGUCAGCAGGGUAACUACAUAAGCAGGGAGUCUGAAAAACACUGUUGCAAAUAUUUUUAUUUAUCAGAACAGAGGGUGUUGGAAAUCUUCUGUUUGUUCUUUGAAAGCACUCAUUUUCCUAAAGAAACAGCCAACUUCUUUCCACAGCUCUGAGGCUCGGGGCUAAAUAUUUUCCAUACUAACUUUUUUUCCCACCAACUGGUGUAGUUACUCCGGCAGCUAAACCUCUCCUUUCUAGUCACUAGUACAGUAAACAUCAAGAGAGGGGUACUGUGUGUAACAAAUCAUACACCUAAGAGAGGCAAGCCACUCAACCCUUUCUCUCUCUCUUUUAAAUUAAAAGUAAAUACUAUUCAUACCUAUAAGCGCAAUCAAUCUAAUGUUCCAAAUGAAGGAGUCCCACUCUUGGAUCCUCUGCCAAAAAGCCACAGUAUGACAUCGACCAACAGAGAUGCAUUUUUUUAAGACCUUCAAUUUUCUAUGCAAAUAAACACUUUAAUUUUUAGGAAAAACGGUGUUUCAGGCAGCAUCCUUAAGGGUGAAUGAAGACAGCAUAUGCCAAAAGCAAUUUAUGAGGAUUUUUUCCUCCAAAUUCUUACUGCCAUAUCCAUCACACAGGAUGUUGAGUGCUCAUGGUGCACAGGCAAUAACCACAAGCAGGAAUUGGCUGUGUUUUUCACAGACAGCCCUGAGUAUUUGCUCUUUUGGAAUUAAACUCAUAUUCAAAGUGAUGAUAGGACAAAGGGACUUAGCACGGAGAAAUCAGAGCACCCAUCAACCCCGACAGCCCCCAGUUCAGGGUGCUGCCAAGCCCACAGGCACUCAUGUGUGAUGAGGACCCUCUCCCUAAAACACAUCAUGGGGGAGGCUCCCAACAUGCUUAAAGUUCAGGGCUAUGAAUCUAAUUUCUUUUCAGACUGGUAAUUUGUGACUCACAGGCAGGUAUCUAUUUUUAGGGAUGGCUUCAGCAAGCUCCAAAUGGAAGCACAACAGACUGUGGCCUCCGGCCACUUCAACAGUCCGGCUCCUGACAUGAGUCCAGAAGCUUUGGCCAGUGCAAAAGUCAGGCACAAACUGUAACUGUUCAGUAUUGUAAUUACGUGUUUUAACCUGUGGGUCCCCCAUCACACAGGUUAUUUUGAAUUAUAAAAGAAAUGCCAUAGUUUUGCACUGUUUUAUUUCUCCCUGCCUGCUCAAACACAAGUUGGAAGCCUUUCCAAAACCACUCCGUCACCGUGUCUUCCAGCACGAACUGUCUGAUAUACUCUGAGUCAGCUGCAUCUGAGGAGCCACAGCUGGCCUGGAAGUAAGCCAAAGACUUUUCCCUUCAGUUUUGUUGCACAAUGUGAUCUAAAUACCUGGUCCCAUCUAAUCGGGUUCCUUCUGGGGUUUAAGGAAACUGUCUUUUACUUUGCGAGGUCUCAAGUUAGAGAAACAUCAUAAGGUUAGUGUCCAAAACCAAUUCAGACAGCAAUACAAAUAAACA